GUGCAAGCUUUUAAAUUUAGUUUGCAAGCUGCGGUGGCUCCCAGCCAGCAGUCCCCAGCCCCAGAGGAAGCCCAUGCAGCACCUUCAUCCUCCCUUGCACGCUGGACUCAUGAUGAGAAAGAUUCGGACCACAGGGUGAGAAGCAGCCCAUAGCUUGUUACCUGUUUAUCCGAAGGACAGAUCGGUGCUCAAGAAAGGUGGCGACACGGAGGCCCAGAGUGAGGAAGUCAUGUAUUCAAGGUGGCAGAGCUGGGAUUUGUAUAUCAUCUCUGUACCUGAGCCCCUAACCUGCAAGUCAUAAUAGGCAACGGAUCAAUGUUAUGAUGCAGUGGAGGCCCUUACCAGAAGCCAACCAGAUGCCAGCACCAUGCUCUUGGAUUUCCCAGUCUCCAGAAUGGUGCAGGUGGAGACGGAACCCUAGACACUGCUCAUCCCAAUCAGGCCCUUUCCAGGCCUGUCCCAUUCCAAUCGGGCAUCAGAUGUGGCAUUGAUCAUCAUCUACUUAACAAACGAGGCUCCCCUUUCAAUGCACUUGGGUCUCCUCUGGGCCAACCUUGGUUCUGAGAUAGCAGGUGCUGAAAUACUGCUGAAUCCUCAAAGCCAGACUAGCCAGUGCCUGGCACCUGAUGGGAAUAUGAUUUCAACGAACAGCUCACAGAAUCCUCCCCACAAAGCCGAGAAGCAGGAAGCAGCAACCCUCCCAGAUGAAGAAGCGAAGGCUCGGAAAAGCUAAGUAACUUCUCCAAGCUGACGCAGCUCGUGAGAGGAGGGACUGGGAUUCAAAUCCCUGCAGGGGGAGACCAGCAGCCCCGACUUCAGCCGCCAUGCCUCCUGCCUGAGAAGCUAGCUGCGAAGGUUCCAGAAGGAGACUGCCCUCCGGGAACAGAAACAGCGCAUGACUGCGACCUGUCUGCAAAAAUCUUGAUCACUUGUAAAUCCUUCUCCACCUGAUAAGUUAUCACAUUGGCUCAUGAUGUUUUUUUUCAUUCUCAGUGAGUUCAAAAUACUAUUUUGGUUUGUCUCAGUUUCUUCCUCUCUCUCUCUCUCUCUCUCUCUCUCUC
Molecule: long non-coding RNA, 1061 nt
Filed under: Homo sapiens (human)
Lineage: Eukaryota; Metazoa; Chordata; Mammalia; Primates; Hominidae
Description: HSALNT0387568
Source: RNAcentral